Molecule: ribosomal RNA, 465 nt
Filed under: Vreelandella stevensii
Lineage: Bacteria; Pseudomonadati; Pseudomonadota; Gammaproteobacteria; Oceanospirillales; Halomonadaceae
Description: partial 16S ribosomal RNA
Rfam family: Bacterial small subunit ribosomal RNA
Source: RNAcentral
CCUACGGGAGGCUGCAGUGGGGAAUAUUGGACAAUGGGGGGAACCCUGAUCCAGCCAUGCCGCGUGUGUGAAGAAGGCCCUCGGGUUGUAAAGCACUUUCAGUGAGGAAGAACGCCUGGUGGUUAAUACCCAUCAGGAAAGACAUCACUCACAGAAGAAGCACCGGCUAACUCCGUGCCAGCAGCCGCGGUAAUACGGAGGGUGCGAGCGUUAAUCGGAAUUACUGGGCGUAAAGCGCGCGUAGGUGGCUUGAUAAGCCGGUUGUGAAAGCCCCGGGCUCAACCUGGGAACGGCAUCCGGAACUGGCAAGCUAGAGUGCAGGAGAGGAAGGUAGAAUUCCCGGUGUAGCGGUGAAAUGCGUAGAGAUCGGGAGGAAUACCAGUGGCGAAGGCGGCCUUCUGGACUGACACUGACACUGAGGUGCGAAAGCGUGGGUAGCAAACAGGAUUAGAUACCCGAGUAGUC